GUGACGCCGGCGGCCAGGGGGUGGGGCGUGAUUAAAACUAGUGCGCGGCCGGCAGCGGAGGGAUUAACGCUGAGCAAAGAGACUGGCGCGCGGCUCGCUGCGCCCUAGCCCGCGGGAGCCCGGGUCCGACGCCGGCGCGGCGCGAGCGACCCGGUUGGAUUCCUUAAUUAUAAAACGAGUCUUCAGUCCAAACCUGGGAUGUAAAAGCUCCCUGCUACGAUCGCUUGUUCUGGUCUCAUCAAAAAGAUAAAAAGAAAAAAGAUGGGAGUUGAAGUGACUAACCAUAUUUUCCAGCAGUACCUUUGUGAGUACGGUUCAUAAUCUCUUAUCUAAUUCCAACAUUCACGAAGCUCUGAAAAACAAAAGCUUUUUAAACUUGGAGACAAAAUUCAUUUGGUAACAAGAUAUGACCUGAACUAAUUAGAAGUUAUUUCGUCUUUAUCCCAUAUGUUUGAUUAUGGGAUGCUGCCCUUGGCCACUGGUCUGUGAGGUGUUACAUGAUGGUCUAUGUACCUGGUAACAUUUUUAAAUUCCAAGAAUUUCUUUAUUCUAAAACACAUCCAGCCCCUGGGUUUUGGUUAAGGAAUGC
This 589-nucleotide long non-coding RNA is filed under the name Equus caballus (horse). RNAcentral describes it as "lncRNA (ENSECAG00000057481.1)". Lineage: Eukaryota; Metazoa; Chordata; Mammalia; Perissodactyla; Equidae. The record is from RNAcentral.